CGUCUCAGUUCGGAUUGUAGUCUGCAACUCGACUACAUGAAGCUGGAAUCGCUAGUAAUCGCGGAUCAGAAUGCCGCGGUGAAUACGUUCCCGGGCCUUGUACACACCGCCCGUCACACCAUGGGAGUUGGUAACACCCGAAGUCAGUAGCCUAACCGCAAGGAGGGCGCUGCCGAAGGUGGGAUCGAUGACUGGGGUGAAGUCGUAACAAGGUACC
RNAcentral lists this ribosomal RNA (217 nucleotides) under uncultured bacterium. RNAcentral describes it as "partial 16S ribosomal RNA". It matches the Rfam family "Bacterial small subunit ribosomal RNA", at positions 1284 to 1500 of the family's 1533-position model. The record is from RNAcentral.